This 482-nucleotide ribosomal RNA is filed under the name uncultured bacterium. RNAcentral's name for it is "partial 16S ribosomal RNA". It matches the Rfam family "Bacterial small subunit ribosomal RNA", at positions 28 to 507 of the family's 1533-position model. The record is from RNAcentral.
GACGAACGCUGGCGGCGUGCUUAACACAUGCAAGUCGAACGAUGAAGAAGAGAAACGCGAACUUCGGUUCAAAUUUCACUUCGGAUUAGUGGCAGACGGGUGAGUAACGCGUGAGCAACCUACCUCUUACAAAGGGAUAGCCUCGGGAAACCGUGAUUAAUACCAUAUGACACAUUCAUAAGGCAUCUUAAGAAUGUUAAAGCUACGGCGGUAAGAGAUGGGCUCGCGUCCCAUUAGCUAGUUGGUGAGGUAACGGCCCACCAAGGCGACGAUGGGUAACCGGCCUGAGAGGGUGAACGGUCACAUUGGAACUGAGACACGGUCCAAACUCCUACGGGAGGCAGCAGUGGGGAAUAUUGCACAAUGGAGGGAACUCUGAUGCAGCGACGCCGCGUGAGCGAUGAAGGAAUUCGUUUCGUAAAGCUCUGUUCUUUGGGAAGAAAAGGACUGUACCAUAGGAGAAAGCCCCGGCUAAAUACGUG